ACCACUUCUGUGGCUCUGGCAUUGGCUGCUGUAACAGCCUUGAGUAAGAAAGGCUAUUGAGGACUCAAGAGCCUUGGUUUCCAGGCCCCUGGAUUGGUCUUGAGAUCUGGCAGAGAGACCAUUUCAGUUCCGUCUAAGAGGCCGCCAGGCCUCAAGAUAAUGAUCUCUAGCAGGACUUUGCCCUGAAUGCACAGCCUUUCCCCUGCUUCCACAGCUUGGUUCCCCAGAAGCUCCAAGUUGUUUUGCUCCAGCAGAAACCUGGCCCUACCACUUGCCACCCUCCAUCCCACAAACGAGGGCGGGCCUUGGCUCAACCCUUGUCCAGUAAGCCGGACAGGCUGUCUGGAGUACAUCAGAUAAGAGGCGGUAACAGCUGGGUGGGUUAGAAUAAAUGCUGCUUUAUUUACCAGCGCCCAGGGAGAGGGCAUUUACUCUCUGAUGGACGUCAGGCAGUAAAUGACUGAGGACAGCUGGGUAGAGGCUGGACGGAGCCCAGAGAGUGAGCUCAAGCCUUGUCAGAAGAAGGACCUCCAGUCCCUGAUUCUAGUCCACUGUCAUUAUGCACAAGAGACUGUGAUACAAGAUACUCU
Molecule: long non-coding RNA, 590 nt
Filed under: Rattus norvegicus (Norway rat)
Lineage: Eukaryota; Metazoa; Chordata; Mammalia; Rodentia; Muridae
Description: long non-coding RNA NONRATT008717
Source: RNAcentral